GGGGAUUUAGCUUAGUGGCAAUAAGAACCUGCCUUGCAAGCAGGCGGUUGUAAGUUCGAUCCCCA
Molecule: transfer RNA, 65 nt
Filed under: Cavia porcellus (domestic guinea pig)
Lineage: Eukaryota; Metazoa; Chordata; Mammalia; Rodentia; Caviidae
Rfam family: tRNA
About the family: Transfer RNA (tRNA) molecules are approximately 80 nucleotides in length. Their secondary structure includes four short double-helical elements and three loops (D, anti-codon, and T loops).
Source: Rfam by way of RNAcentral